AAGACUAUAGACCUGCGGAGUACCUGCGGAAGGAUCAUUACAGAGUUCUCGCCCUCGCGGGUAGAUCUCCCACCCACUGCGAUCGACACCGUGUUGCUUUGGCGGACCCCGCCGCCGGCCCCGGCCGGCGCGCGCCCGCCAGAGGCUCCGCAAACCCUGAACGUCCGCGUCGUCCGAGCACUACACAAUAGUUAAAACUUUUAACAAUGGAUCUCU
This 216-nucleotide unclassified non-coding RNA is filed under the name soil metagenome. RNAcentral's name for it is "partial contains 5.8S ribosomal RNA, internal transcribed spacer 2, and large subunit ribosomal RNA". The record is from RNAcentral.